UACGAAGGGAGCUAGCGUUGUUCGGAAUCACUGGGCGUAAAGCGCACGUAGGCGGAUUUGUCAGUCAGGGGUGAAAUCCCGGAGCUCAACUUCGGAACUGCCUUUGAUACAGCGCAUCUGGAGUCCGGAAGAGGUGGGUGGAAUUCCGAGUGUAGAGGUGAAAUUCGUAGAUAUUAGGAAGAACACCGGUGGCGAAGGCGGCCCACUGGUCCGGUACUGACGCUGAGGUGCGAAAGCGUGGGGAGCAAACAGG
Molecule: ribosomal RNA, 253 nt
Filed under: uncultured bacterium
Lineage: Bacteria
Description: partial 16S ribosomal RNA
Rfam family: Bacterial small subunit ribosomal RNA
Source: RNAcentral